RNAcentral lists this ribosomal RNA (530 nucleotides) under Eucheilota sp. JRH-2014. RNAcentral describes it as "partial 16S ribosomal RNA". It matches the Rfam family "Bacterial large subunit ribosomal RNA", at positions 1810 to 2527 of the family's 2925-position model. Lineage: Eukaryota; Metazoa; Cnidaria; Hydrozoa; Leptothecata; Campanulariidae. The record is from RNAcentral.
AAAACAUAGCCCUAGAUAAAAUCUAAGGUGUAACCUGCCCAGUGACUUCAAAAUAAUAAUAUAAAAAAUUUAAAAUGUAGUUAAAAGGACGCGGUAACCUUGACCGUGGUAAUGUAGCAUAAUCACUCGCCAUUUAAUUGGUGGAUAGUAUGAAUGGUUGAACGAAUAUUCCACUGUCUUAGAAAGAAUUAGAUAAAAUUGAAAUAAUAGUUAAGAUGCUAUUUUAAACUAUAAGACGAAAAGACCCUAUAGAGCUUAACUAUAAUCUCUAUAUAAUAAAAAAAAACAAAUUUUAAUAUUAUAGAGAAUGGUAGUUUAGUUGGGGCGACUGUCUUCUAAAAUUAACGAAGAUAAGCAAUGUUAAUAAAUCACUUAUUGUAUAAUAUAAAUAUUUAACAAUUAUAAAAAUAGGCUAUAAUGACCCGUUGAAUCAAUAUAAAAUGUUUAACGAUCAAUUAAUAAAAGCUACCUUAGGGAUAACAGGAUAAUUUCAUUUUAGAGUCCUAAUCGAAGAUGAAGUUUGUCACCUC